UAACACUAACUGGAGGACCGAACCGACUAAUGUUGAAAAAUUAGCGGAUGACUUGUGGCUGGGGGUGAAAGGCCAAUCAAACCGGGAGAUAGCUGGUUCUCCCCGAAAGCUAUUUAGGUAGCGCCUCGUGAAUUCAUCUCCGGGGGUAGAGCACUGUUUCGGCAAGGGGGUCAUCCCGACUUACCAACCCGAUGCAAACUGCGAAUACCGGAGAAUGUUAUCACGGGAGACACACGGCGGGUGCUAACGUCCGUCGUGAAGAGGGAAACAACCCAGACCGCCAGCUAAGGUCCCAAAGUCAUGGUUAAGUGGGAAACGAUGUGGGAAGGCCCAGACAGCCAGGAUGUUGGCUUAGAAGCAGCCAUCAUUUAAAGAAAGCGUAAUAGCUCACUGGUCGAGUCGGCCUGCGCGGAAGAUGUAACGGGGCUAAACCAUGCACCGAAGCUGCGGCAGCGACGCUUAUGCGUUGUUGGGUAGGGGAGCGUUCUGUAAGCCUGUGAAGGUGGCCUGUGAGGGUUGCUGGAGGUAUCAGAAGUGCGAAUGCUGACAUAAGUAACGAUAAAGCGGGUGAAAAGCCCGCUCGCCGGAAGACCAAGGGUUCCUGUCCAACGUUAAUCGGGGCAGGGUGAGUCGACCCCUAAGGCGAGGCCGAAAGGCGUAGUCGAUGGGAAACAGGUUAAUAUUCCUGUACUUGGUGUUACUGCGAAGGGGGGACGGAGAAGGCUAUGUUGGCCGGGCGACGGUUGUCCCGGUUUAAGCGUGUAGGCUGGUUUUCCAGGCAAAUCCGGAAAAUCAAGGCUGAGGCGUGAUGACGAGGCACUACGGUGCUGAAGCGACAAAUGCCCUGCUUCCAGGAAAAGCCUCUAAGCAUCAGGUAACAUUAAAUCGUACCCCAAACCGACACAGGUGGUCAGGUAGAGAAUACCAAGGCGCUUGAGAGAACUCGGGUGAAGGAACUAGGCAAAAUGGUGCCGUAACUUCGGGAGAAGGCACGCUGAUAUGUAGGUGAAGCGACUUGCUCGUGGAGCUGAAAUCAGUCGAAGAUACCAGCUGGCUGCAACUGUUUAUUAAAAACACAGCACUGUGCAAACACGAAAGUGGACGUAUACGGUGUGACGCCUGCCCGGUGCCGGAAGGUUAAUUGAUGGGGUUAGCGGUAACGCGAAGCUCUUGAUCGAAGCCCCGGUAAACGGCGGCCGUAACUAUAACGGUCCUAAGGUAGCGAAAUUCCUUGUCGGGUAAGUUCCGACCUGCACGAAUGGCGUAAUGAUGGCCAGGCUGUCUCCACCCGAGACUCAGUGAAAUUGAACUCGCUGUGAAGAUGCAGUGUACCCGCGGCAAGACGGAAAGACCCCGUGAACCUUUACUAUAGCUUGACACUGAACAUUGAGCCUUGAUGUGUAGGAUAGGUGGGAGGCUUUGAAGUGUGGACGCCAGUCUGCAUGGAGCCGACCUUGAAAUACCACCCUUUAAUGUUUGAUGUUCUAACGUGGGCCCCUUACCGGGGUUGCGGACAGUGUCUGGUGGGUAGUUUGACUGGGGCGGUCUCCUCCUAAAGAGUAACGGAGGAGCACGAAGGUUGGCUAAUCCUGGUCGGACAUCAGGAGGUUAGUGCAAUGGCAUAAGCCAGCUUGACUGCGAGCGUGACGGCGCGAGCAGGUGCGAAAGCAGGUCAUAGUGAUCCGGUGGUUCUGAAUGGAAGGGCCAUCGCUCAACGGAUAAAAGGUACUCCGGGGAUAACAGGCUGAUACCGCCCAAGAGUUCAUAUCGACGGCGGUGUUUGGCACCUCGAUGUCGGCUCAUC
This 1804-nucleotide ribosomal RNA is filed under the name Escherichia coli. Its description in RNAcentral is "partial 23S ribosomal RNA". It matches the Rfam family "Bacterial large subunit ribosomal RNA", at positions 757 to 2541 of the family's 2925-position model. Lineage: Bacteria; Pseudomonadati; Pseudomonadota; Gammaproteobacteria; Enterobacterales; Enterobacteriaceae. The record is from RNAcentral.